UAUCUACCCUGCCUGUUCCUCUGUGUGUGUCAUAUUCCUUCUUUAGUGCUCUUUCUCUCCGUGGCCCCUCCCCGUGGGAAAGCUGGCCUCGUGUGAUUGUGGUGGCCCAUACUGGAAGCUGUGGUUGCAGCACUGACUCUACUGGUGCCAAAAGAAUCGAGGACUAUUUCCACACCCUGUAUGGAGAGUGGUUGGCAGAGGCACUGAGAGGGCACACAGUGUUCCUGGUUUCCUCUUGCUGUUGCAGGAUCAGGGCCAGCAGCCACCGUUUUUUCACUGUCUGAGUGGCCGCUGUACCGCAGUGUUCUCUUCUCAUCAACCUCUCUGGAGACAGCUAGAAAAAACAGACGCUCUAAAUGGCACCUUGCUUUAGAGUCUAUAGCACCCAGAGGAGUCUUUCAGAUAAGAGUCAGUUUAGUAUGACUGUCAUAAACUCCAAACUUCUCCGUAAUGCUGAUUCAGAACGCCCCGAUUUCUGUGCCCCAGGCCUGUGCGGACUUACUGGAGGUACC
Molecule: long non-coding RNA, 512 nt
Organism: Rhinichthys klamathensis goyatoka
Lineage: Eukaryota; Metazoa; Chordata; Actinopteri; Cypriniformes; Leuciscidae
Exons: 3
Source: RefSeq, a predicted model, not a curated record